UUUAUUCUCUCUGUUCUCUGUUCCUUAUUUCUUAUUAUCCCUAUUUUCUUAGGGCAACGACAUCCCAAACACAACAGGCACAGGCAACAGGGAAUAACGUCCAAUCAGAGCUCUGGUAUGUAAGUUUGAUAUUAUAUCCCAGAGUUCUGAUUGGAUGACUCGUUAUUCCCUGUUGCCUAUGCUAUUGUGUUUAAGCCUUAACUAGUAAAAUUAUCUUUAAAAAGAGUGUUCCAAUACAAUACACUGCCAGUACUAGCAGUACUGGGUAUCAAUUAUUAAACUUUAUCCCUAGAAUGGAAAGUGGAACCAUUGAAGUUAAUGGAGAAAUUUUUCAUUUUUCAUCUUUCACCCAGGAAAAAAGUUUCAUGAUUGAUAUUCUAAAAAAUUAUUUCGCUAUUAGCACGCAACGCGCUACGACAGCGACUAUUUCCCUAAAUGACAUCAUAAAUAAUAAUCAUAUUGCCACUGCGACUACUGCGGCUUUCGAGAUCAGAUAGUUACAGUGCAAAGAUAAAGAACUCAUGGGUUAUUAUUUGACGCGCGCGUCACGCGUUAUAGACGUUUGGAACUGAGAGCGUUUGAUGCAGUUUUGGUGCUGAAAUAGAGAUUAGCAGCUUAGACGAGAUUCAGAGAAUAUUCACAUGCGAUUUAUGUGAAGAAAUUGUGGGCAGCUUGGAAAUAGUAAAGAGCCAUUCUUGUCUAAUGGGAUAUGCAAAAGCAAUUUUUGAUGAAAAUCUUUAUUUUUAUCCUCAAAGCAAUAAUGGAGACAUACAUUGUACGUCGAAGUGAUGUGAAUAUUUAAGGGAGAAUCAGAAUGUUACGAUCGUAUCGCAAGAUAGAAAAACGAUGGCAAGAAGUCAGCGAAGCAAUAAAAGGCACACAACCAAGACAUUCAGUUUUCAAAUGAGUUACAUGAACAAUGGUGAAAAUUUGGAAGAAAUUACUUAGAUGAGUGAUUUAUGUGAUAACAUGAAAAUUUCUAUAUAAUUCUCUUGAUGUCGCAGGCUACUUUUUCUAAGCCAUUUCUUUCAAACUAUUUAUCGCUACGUUUACAUUGUGAAUUUAGGCCGCGACCUAUAUAAUAAAUGUUCUUGUUUAGUCCCUGUAAGUUAAACAAAGAUACUUAUACUUAUCGUAUAGAUCAUAGAUUAAGCGCACGAUGUAAACAUAGCUAUGUAUAAUCAAAGCUCUCAGUUUUCUUAUGUAGUACACAGACGUAGCUCGAAUACACAAGAUUAUUGUAAAUAUACAGUACUUAUAAUUAUUAAAAUUAUAAAAAUAAAAAACAACAUGAUUUUAUUUUAAAAGUAUACUCUAGUGAAGAGUCCAAAGAAAAUGGAAAAAUCUCUGUAACCGUUUUAUGUGGAUUGUUCAGCGGAGAAGCUGCCAAGUGAGGCGACAAGUUAGUCGGAGAAGAAUGGUUUUUAUGAGUCAUUAAACCUUUUGCGUGACACAUUAUUAAGAAGAGAGUGAAUACAAGAAAAACAAUUUUUUUAAUUUUUAGAAAAUAUGUUAAAAGCAUUGCGAAAAUAUUUGAAUUAUUAAUUAUGAAACCACAUAUUAAUAAUUAUUACUGUUAUUUCAGAACUGUAUCGAAUAUGCCAGUCUGUAACAACAAUAUGAAUAUCGAAGACGAAGAAGAAAAAGAGAAUCUGCACAAAAUGAUAUCUCUAAGAACAGCAAGAAGCAAAGGAUAAACAGAAACUCAAACCAAGAUAGUAUUAUUCUGGCACAAAUAAGCGAGGCAUUACGAGCCGCCGCCGGCAAUUUCUUUGCCAUCAAUUCCAGUAACGAAAGAAGAAGAUUUCGGAAUGAUGAUUUCCUCGCAACUUC
This is a long non-coding RNA of Acromyrmex echinatior (Panamanian leafcutter ant), 1833 nucleotides long. Lineage: Eukaryota; Metazoa; Arthropoda; Insecta; Hymenoptera; Formicidae. The record is from RefSeq and is a predicted model, not a curated record.